Molecule: ribosomal RNA, 550 nt
Filed under: uncultured bacterium
Lineage: Bacteria
Description: bacterial SSU rRNA
Rfam family: Bacterial small subunit ribosomal RNA
Source: RNAcentral
UAGGGAAUCUUCGGCAAUGGACGAAAGUCUGACCGAGCAACGCCGCGUGAGUGAAGAGGGUUUUCGGAUCGUAAAGCUCUGUUGUAAGAGAAGAACGGGUGUGAGAGUGGAAAGUUCACACUGUGACGGUAUCUUACCAGAAAGGGACGGCUAACUACGUGCCAGCAGCCGCGGUAAUACGUAGGUCCCGAGCGUUGUCCGGAUUUAUUGGGCGUAAAGCGAGCGCAGGCGGUUAGAUAAGUCUGAAGUUAAAGGCUGUGGCUUAACCAUAGUACGCUUUGGAAACUGUUUAACUUGAGUGCAGAAGGGGAGAGUGGAAUUCCAUGUGUAGCGGUGAAAUGCGUAGAUAUAUGGAGGAACACCGGUGGCGAAAGCGGCUCUCUGGUCUGUAACUGACGCUGAGGCUCGAAAGCGUGGGGAGCGAACAGGAUUAGAUACCCUGGUAGUCCACGCCGUAAACGAUGAGUGCUAGGUGUUAGGCCCUUUCCGGGGCUUAGUGCCGCAGCUAACGCAUUAAGCACUCCGCCUGGGGAGUACGACCGCAAGGUUG